GUUGCAUACUCCUAGCUCUCGCCGAGUUUGACAAUUUUUGUCAGUUAAUUCAGAUUAUUCAGUUAGUGCAGUUCAGUCAGUUAGUGUUCGUCAGUCUGUUAGCUAAUUCAGUUUCAUUCAGAGUUAGCAGUGAGCGCACGCCGGAAAUAGCUGGACGUGUGCGCGUCUUUCGGAGCUCACCUGACGCACGCUGCGUUCGUGCGGGGUGGAGCGCGUCGUGCGCGGCAAGAACGUGGUCGUGGGAUGGCACGGCUGUAGAAGCGUUCGUGCCGUGCGUUUCGGCCUUCUUUGUUUUAGAUCAGAUAAGUCCUUCGAUAUAUGAAUAAACGGGUAACAGAAAAGCGCGGCCAGUUGGGCAGCACCAAAAACAACUCUCCACGAGUCCUCGCGCAUGUGUACUGCGUUCUCAGGAUUCAUCACCGGCGAUCAUCUCCGAUCUAGUCCAACAAUUGGUAUCAGAACCAAGUUGACUGAAGAAGCAUGUCGGCGUAUGGCCGACGCGAUGACGGAGGAGGCAGAAGGCGCUCACUGUCGCCGGUCUUCCCUCGCGGACGACGCAGUGGCAGGGAGAUCAUCGUCGAGCGCAUCAUCGAGCGGAGCUCGACGGCGGCCAUCUACCCCAUGCUCACGAAAACCAACUAUGCCGAGUGGUCACUUGUGAUGCAGGUAAAUCUCCAAGCACAAUGCCUCUGGGAGGCAAUGGACCCGGGAACCGACAACUUCCGCGACGACCGGAACGCGCUGGCGGCGCUUCUUCGCGCAGUACCGCCCGAAAUGCAGGCUGGGCUUGCUCGGAAGGCGACUGCGAAGGAGGCCUGGGACUCCAUCAAGAGCAUCCGUGUGGGCGCGGAGCGUGUCAAGGAGGCAAAUGCAGAUCGAUUGCGAAAGGAGUUCGCUGAUCUCGUCUUCAAGCCCGGCGAGUCGGUGGAAGACUUUGCUGCUCGGGCAAACACCUUGGCGAACCAGCUGAGGGUGGUCGGCGACGACAUCGCCGAGAAGGAGGUUGUGAAGAAACUGCUCCACGCAGCCCCGACUAAUCUCGAACAAAUCGCAUUGUCGAUUGAGACCUUACUCGAUCUCAAUGACAUUACGGUUGAAGAGGUGGCUGGGAGGCUGCGUGCGGUGGAGCAGAGGAAGACGACGAUUGCGGCCCCGAACAAGGACGGUGGAGGCCGUCUGCUCCUCACCGAGGAGGAAUGGCGCGAAAGGGCAAAGAUGAAGGACCAUGGCGGCAAGGCAGCAUCUAGCUCUGGCUGGAAACAGGCCUCCGGGCGUGGACGUGGCCGAGGGCGCGGUCGUUCACGAGGAAGAGGCCAAGGUAGAGGUGGUGCACGCAAAGACGACGAGUGUCUGAGCUGCGGCAAACUGGGGCAUUGGGCUCGCGAUUGUCGUAGCAAGAAGAAGGCGGAGCAGGCACACGCUGCUCAGGCGCAGGACGUCGAGGGCGAGGAGGAGGAUUCCGCCCUCCUCAUGGCCACGACCGAGAUCUCCAUGUCAGGCGGUUCACUUGCUUCAGAAGAACCAGGCACACUGGCACUUCGCCGUGUGCAUCUCCUGGAAGCCAAGAUCAUCCCUCGACUCGACGCACCGGAGGAACGCGACGAGUGCAGCUGGGUACUCGACACGGGUGCGUCCAACCACAUGACCGGCAUCCGAUCCCUCUUCUCCGAGAUCGACAAAGGGGUCGGCGGGUCUGUGCGAUUCGGCGAUGGCUCCACUGUGGCAAUCGAGGGUCGCGGCACCAUUGUGUUUAUGUGCAAGAAUGGAGAGCAGCGGGCGCUGACCGGGGUCUACUACAUUCCCCGACUCACGGCCAAUAUCAUAAGUCUUGGCCAGAUGGACGAGGGAGGCUGCCGAGUCGACAUCAACCACGGCAUCCUCCGCAUCUUCGAUCGCAAGAAGAAGCUUCUGGUACGUGUGAGACGUACAGCAGGACGAAUUUACCAGCUCCAAGCGACCAUCGGGAGGCCUCUCUGCUUCGCGGCGCACAGCUCCGAGGUCUCAUGGCUGUGGCAUGGUCGCUUCGGCCACCUCGGCUUCGACAAUCUCCGGAAGCUGGCUCGGGAGGAAAUGGUCCGGGGGUUGCCAACCCUGGACCCUGUUGAUGGUGUCUGCGACGCAUGCCUUGCCGGGAAACAAAGGCGCUCACCGUUCCCUGUCCAGGCUCGACGUCGCGCAGCACAAGUACUCGAUCUGGUCCAUGGGGAUCUGUGUGGACCAAUCUCGCCGUCCACACCAAGUGGGAACAGGUAUUUCCUACUGUUGGUAGAUGAUAAAAGUAGAUAUAUGUGGGUCAAGCUUCUUGCCAGAAAAGACGAGGCCGCCUCGGCGAUCAAAAAUUUUCAGUCAGCUGUUGAGGUCGAAACCGGACGCCAUCUCAAGGUGCUUCGGACCGAUCGUGGAGGGGAGUUCACCUCAGUGGAGUUUGGGCAAUACUGCGCCAGCCGCGGUGUCCAACGUCAACUCACUGCUCCAUACUCGCCGCAGCAAAACGGAGUGGUGGAGCGGCGCAACCAAAGUGUUGUGUCGAUGGCGCGCUGUAUGCUCAAGUCGAAGGGUCUCCCUGGGCACUUCUGGGGUGAGGCAGUCUCCACUGCCGUCUUCAUCAUCAAUCGAUCGCCAACUCGAGCACUCUCUGGACAAACCCCCUACGAGGCGUGGUUUGGAGAGCGCCCACCGGUGCACUUCAUGCGCAUCUUUGGCUGCGUCGCCCACGUCAAGAACACCCGUCCAGGACUGAAGAAGCUUGAUGAUAGAAGCACACCAACCAUCUUCGUCGGCUACGAACAAGGUUCUAAGGCGUACAGGUGUUAUGAUCCACAUGCCGGUCGCGUCGUGGUGUCUCGCGACGUCGUGUUCGACGAGGGCGCGAAGUGGACCUGGGACAGACGUCUUGAAGAUGCUGUGGAUGAUGAUGUCCCGUUCAUGGUGGAAGACGAAGUGCAUUCUGCUCCACCGAUUUCAUCACGCGCGACGACGCCUGCUCCGACUCAAGCUACAACGACGUCGCUGUCACCAGCUUCACCGGCGACUGCCCAACCUGCUGCGUCGCCUGCCUCGUCAGCAGAGUUUGUGUCACCCCCCACAGGCUUUGAAGGGGUGCUCGACGCUGACCAUGACGAGGAUGCGCCGUUGCGGUUCCGGGUGAUUGAUACAGUCCUUGGGCCAGCUUCACCUCCAGGAUUGGCACCCAGAGUACUUGACGAGGAACUAAUGUUAACGACAGCCGAUGAACCAACUUCUUUUGCAGAAGCAGAGCAGGAGGAGUGCUGGCGCCAGGCGAUGAAAGAGGAGAUGAAAUCGAUUGAAGCCAAUGGCACCUGGGAGCUUGCCACACUCCCCACUGGGCACCGAGCUAUCGGGCUCAAGUGGGUCUUCAAGGUGAAGCGCGACGGGAGUGGCAAAGUCGUCCGCCACAAAGCUCGUCUCGUCGCAAAGGGCUAUGUUCAGCGGGCCGGAAUUGACUUUGAUGAAGUGUUCGCUCCCGUGGCGAGGAUUGAGUCCGUGCGAGUACUGCUUGCACUGGCUGCUCAUCACGGAUGGGAGGUCCACCACAUGGAUGUAAAAAGCGCCUUUCUGAAUGGGGACUUGAAGGAACAGGUGUUUGUGGCACAGCCCCCCGGAUUUGUGGUCGACGGCAAACCUGACAAAGUGCUGCGUCUUCAUAAGGCGCUGUACGGUCUUCGGCAGGCACCAAGGGCCUGGAAUGCUAAGCUGGACGCCGCCAUGGCUCAGCUGAGUUUCCAGAGGAGCAGGUCUGAGCAUGGCGUCUACACCCGUUCCAGUAGCACGUCGAGGUUGGUGGUUGGAGUUUAUGUUGACGAUCUAAUCAUUUCUGGUUCGAGCUCCAAAGUGAUCGCGGCGUUCAAGCAGGAGAUGAGGAGCAUCUUCUCCAUGAGUGAUCUCGGUCUCCUCUCCUACUACCUUGGGAUUGAGGUGAGCCAGAAUGCACAUGGAAUCACUCUCUGUCAAGCAGCCUAUGCAAGGAAACUUCUGGAACGUUGUGGCAUGGCAAGCUGUAACUCGAGCUCAACCCCGAUGGAAGAAAGGCUGAAGUUAAGCAAGCACAGUAACUCACCCGCUGUGAACGCCACGGAGUAUAGGUGCAUGAUCGGUGGUCUGCGAUACCUGGUGAACACGCGGCCGGAUCUUGCCUUCUCGGUGGGCUAUUUAAGUCGCUUUAUGGAGGCACCACAUCAAGAUCAUCUGAUGGCAGUGAAACGUGUCCUCAGGUAUGUAGCUGGAACCUGUGAGCAUGGCAUUCACUACAAGAAGAGCAGGGAAGGACAAGCUCAAUUGGUCGGCUUCAGCGAGGGAGGACGAGCUCAACUGGUCGGCUUCAGUGACGCGGACCUAGCAGGUGACGUCGACACUCGCAGGAGUACCAGUGGCGUCAUCUUCUAUCUUGGAGAUAAUCCCAUCACUUGGCAGUCUUCAAAGCAAAAGGUAGUAGCUCUGUCAUCGUGUGAAGCCGAGUACAUCGCUGCUGCCACUGCAACUUGUCAGGCUUUGUGGCUUGCUCGUCUGGUGACUGACAUGGCAGGAGUGCAGCCCAGGACGCCUGAACUGAAGGUGGAUAACCAGGCUGCCAUCGCUCUAAGCAAGAACCCGGUCUUCCAUGAUAGAAGUAAACACAUUGACACCAAGUUUCACUUCAUCCGUGAGUGUGUGGAUCAAGGUCGGAUCAUCCUUCAGCAUACGUCAACGGAAACGCAGUUGGCUGACAUCCUGACAAAGCCGAUUGGAAAGACCCGGUUUCAUAAGCUGUGCUCCCUCAUAGGAAUUCAGCAGGUCGGCGAGAUCAUGGAGUAGAGGGGAGAAAUGUUGCAUACUCCUAGCUCUCGCCGAGUUUGACAAUUUUUGUCAGUUAAUUCAGAUUAUUCAGUUAGUGCAGUUCAGUCAGUUAGUGUUCGUCAGUCUGUUAGCUAAUUCAGUUUCAUUCAGAGUUAGCAGUGAGCGCACGCCGGAAAUAGCUGGACGUGUGCGCGUCUUUCGGAGCUCACCUGACGCACGCUGCGUUCGUGCGGGGUGGAGCGCGUCGUGCGCGGCAAGAACGUGGUCGUGGGAUGGCACGGCUGUAGAAGCGUUCGUGCCGUGCGUUUCGGCCUUCUUUGUUUUAGAUCAGAUAAGUCCUUCGAUAUAUGAAUAAACGGGUAACAGAAAAG
Molecule: long non-coding RNA, 5165 nt
Filed under: Zea mays
Lineage: Eukaryota; Viridiplantae; Streptophyta; Magnoliopsida; Poales; Poaceae
Description: long non-coding RNA (ZMAY_LNC002611)
Source: RNAcentral